Long non-coding RNA from Cavia porcellus (domestic guinea pig), 4052 nucleotides. RefSeq lists it as uncharacterized. The transcript has 3 exons. The record is from RefSeq and is a predicted model, not a curated record. Lineage: Eukaryota; Metazoa; Chordata; Mammalia; Rodentia; Caviidae.
ACGGGGUGGCUGCGCCGCGGCUGGUUUUCGUCCGAGAAGGGAUGUGGGGCCGUGUGUGUGACGGAGGACGAGGCUGGCGGUGCCCGGGUCCUCGGGGAAGGGCGAGGUCCGCGCGUGACUGCCCGGUGCCCCCUGUCGCGCGGGAGCCUGGACGGCUUGGGCGCCGGUGGCUCCUUGGGCGCAGGCUCAGUUCCCGCCCUGGCGUGGAGCCUCACUGUGGCCGGAGCUGGAAUUAAGGUCCUCACAGUUGGUCUGGUCAGCCCGAGAAGAUACCAAGUCACAUCCUGGGGUUUAGGGCAGCACGUCUUCGGGGUCAUAUCUGAAUUCAGCCAGCCAGAGGCCCCGAAGCUGAAGGAUCACAGCCCGUUGUGGAGAGGAGGAAAGUCCUAGAAUGUCCAGGAAGCAGCCCGGGUCCGUCUCCCUAGUCGGAUUGUUAGACCCACCCCCUGGGGCUGUUGGGAGGAACUCGUGAGUUGUGAGAGUACAGGUCGUGGUGCCGCAGGCACUUGAGCACGGAGAGGAAAUCUGCACAGCUGCUCCUGGGCUGCGCAGGAGGAGCGGUUUAGAUGCUUAGUGACAGUGAUUCCACCUUUCUGGCUUCUCCCACAGAAACACCACUGACGCCUCAGUGAGGCUGGCGGCAGAUGAUGGCUGGAGAACUGGACGGUCGUGUAGCCCUAGAUGCCCACUCUGCAGAGGACGAGAUGGGACUUCUGAUUGUGAAGGUGGAGGAGGAAGAGGCUUCUUCCUGGGUGGAGCAGAAGAGCUUGCUGGGCCCUGAACACGCCUGCCUGUGUUUCCGUGCCUUCUGCUACCUCGAUGCUGCUGGCCCCCAGGACGUCCUGAGCCGGCUCCGAGCUCUGCCAACAGUGGCUGUGCCCCGAGACCCACAGCAAGGAGCAGAUCCUGGAGCUGCUGGUGCUUGAGCAAUUCCUGGCCGUCCUGCCUGCAGAGCUGCAGGCCUGGGUGCGCGCACAGCGUCCACAGAGUGGGGGAGAAGCUGCAGCACUGCUGGAGUUUGUGCAGGGGCCCCUGGAGGAGGCGCUGCUGCAGGUUUCAGGUGACCAAGCACUUUUGGGUUAUGAGGCAGGAGAGGGGAUGGCAGCCCAGAGUUCACAGAGUGGCCAAGUCCCAGCAGUGAAGCCUCUGUGCAAGCAUGAAUCUCGGGGAUCCUGGCCCUUGCAGGACACAGUAGCUGCCUAAGACGACAGCUGCAGAGAAGAUGCAGUGGCAGCUGACGAGCUUCCGCCAGAGUCCCAGGUAAGGUGAGUCCCUUCCCUUACUUCCUUCAUUACUGUCCUUCCUGCAGAGCUGUCAUCCUGUCUAUGCCGCCUGUGCCGCCAUCAUGGAUCCCCCACCUGGUCCUAGGGGGAUGUGAAUUUGCUCUUUCAGUCCCAGGUUGCUUACUGUCAGCUUCACCGAAGUGUGCAGUUUCAUUGCUGGCUUGCAGAACUGUCUGUUGCCCAGAUACUACCACUCCAUCCCUUUGGUGGUCUUCUUCUGUUGCUGUGGAGGCUGCUGAAAGUGGAAGACGUCCCUGACGCUAUCCCCUGGGAAGACCCAGCUGGUUUCCUCCCACGUGACCCUUUGCAGAGAUGAAAGGCAGCCAAGCUGGGGCUGCGCUGGCUCCCUGGGUAAGACCAAGGGACUCCGGGGCUCCGGAGGGGUCUCUGCAUGCUUUGCAGUGAGACCUGCUGGCCCUGGCAACCUGUCAGAACUGGUGAUCCCUGUGCCACAUAGAUUCAGAGCGACCAUUUUUAAAGCCACCAGCCCUUCAGCCUCCACUCUUGUUUUCUUAUGGGCUGUGCCGGGGUUCUAGUCUGAGUGCGUGGAUGAAGCAGCUGAGAUGCCUGGCACCGACCUGGCUCAGAGAAGACACACAGCACAGUUAAUUUCGGGGCUGGGGCUGGGACUGGGGCUGGGGCUUAGCAGGGGAGUGCACAGCGCUGGUUCAGUGCCUAGCUCAGGGACAUAGUGCAGUCAAAUACAUAUUUGCUCCCCUUCCAUUCCUGCCCCAGUAGCCAUUCUGUUUGGGGACCCUGUCUGUCUCUGGAUGCAGUCCAAGAGCACCUUCCUUGUCUUUGGUCACUGGCCAGGUUCAGAGUUGUAACACUUUGGAAGUUCUUCAUCUUGCCCCGUUCACUGCCACCUUCCACUCAGCCCCCUCAGCAUCUAAUCCUCCUGGGUGGCCCUGCCUUUCUUUUCUUAUUGCUUAGUGACCCUCCUCCCCCAAACCAGCACCACGUGACACCCUGGCACAGUCCUCGGCCUCGUCCCCCCUCCCUGCAUUCCCUCCCGUGCCUUCUGCCAGUGCCCCUGCUCCGUUCUCACCUCUCUGCUCCCCAGCACCGUUCCUCCCAUCCUGGUUCCUGCACUCGAAUCCUCCUUGCUCGCAGAGAGCCCUGCAGUUCUCGCCUCCCUGGUGCACAUCACACAGCUUUCCUCCACACUGGGCCUAACCCACCGUUGUUGGCCCUGGCUGUUUCAGGUGGUGAAAUGCAGGUGAAGGUCAGGGGCUUGUCUCCAGCUGAGGAGUGUCCAGGACAAGAGCCUGGGCAGACUCCAUGCCACCUGGAUGGGGACAUUGCCCAGGGUCCUGCUUGUGCUGAGGCUGGUGAACAGGAGGACAGGUUACAAGGAAAGCAGAACAAUGCUGUGAGGAGUGGGCAUCAUGUUUGUCUCGAAUGUGGAAAGAGCUUUGCUCAAAGUUCAGGCCUGACCAAGCACAGGAGGAUCCACACAGGUGUGAAACCCUAUGAGUGAAGAGUAUGGCAAAGCCUUUAGUCACAGAUCAGACCUUGUCAAAUACCAGAGAACACACACAGGCGAGAAGCCCUACGAGUGUGAAGACUGUGGGAAAACCUUCAGCCAGAGCUGCAGCCUCCUGGAGCAUCACAAGAUUCACACUGGGGAGAAGCCAUACCAGUGUACCAUGUGUGGCAAAGCCUUUAGGCGGAAUUCACAUCUCUAGAGACAUCAGUGGCUCCAUGGGAAUAAAAAUGAGCUUGGAGAGGUAGGUAAGGCCAAGAUGGAAAGCCAGCGGGAAAAUGCCGAAACUCCUGUGUCUUACAAAUGUAGAGUGCAAGAGAAGUUUCACUCAGAAAAUAGGACUUACGGAAAAUCAAAAAAUCCACACUGGGUAGAAACCCUACCAGUGUGACACAUGUGAAAAGGCUUCACUCAAACUUCAUACCUCAUUCAACUUAAGAGAAGCCACAUAGGGAAGAAAAUUCGGUCAUAGUGACCACUUGUAUGUAUAGGAAAGUUGCUGUUCAUUUGUCAUUGAAUUAAAGGCACCUGGAGCCUCACUGUCUAUGGAAUUUGUAAGCUGGGGUUUUAUUUACUAAUAGACAUCAGGUGUUUUCAAAAUACAUUCUGGCCGAGGUGAAUCGUCUGUAUUUUAGAAGGUGUUUGGAACAGAGCUGAGUCCAUACGAGGCUGUGGGAGAGUUUUUUGGAGGUGUAGGACCUCAGUGUUUCUUUCUCACCCACUGGAACUAAAUGAGCCUCCAGACUCACUAAUUUCUAUCAGCCUGCACUUUAAGAUGUCCUCCUGCUGCCAGGACCAUACUUUUUCAUUGUAGUGAAUGCAAUAUGAUUGGUCAGAUUCAUGAAGUCUCACGGUCCCCUCUGUGCCUUGUAUACAAGUGCUAAUGUGCAUUUAUUAAGUGCACCGUGAGGUUACUUACAUAACCUAAAAUCUCAUGUCUAUACUUUUGUAGAACUUUUUAUCAAGAUCAAUUUGCUUGUACCUAAGAGUUGAGGUUCUAAGUUCUGAGUCAGUCUACGUGUUUUUUUCCAUAUACAUAGGAUUGAUAGGGUGGGAGGAAGGUGAGAUAACUGAUAGAAUUGAUUUUGUUGCCUAGCCAUUCUAUUCAGAAUUCUUAAAGAGCUUCAUCAUUGAAUCAUCAAUGCAUGCUAUUCAUGAAUUCAGUUCUUUAAUUUGUCUCUGAUGCUGUUUGUGCUACUCUUGAGGGAGAAAGGUUUUCCUGUUCAGUUGGUAUGAAAAUCAGUUAUGCAGUUGGAAUAAAAUGAUUCAUUUUCUGAGCUUAA